AUGAAAAGUUUCUACGAUAUUAUCGAAAUCGACGAGAUUGCCACGUUUGACGACGUUAAAAAAGCAUAUUUUCGAUUUUUGAGAAAGGAGCAUCCCGACAAAAAUCCCGAAAAAUUUGGAUCAAAUACGGAGGUACUGAAGGCGGUUGCACAGAUUUGGGAGCAGGUUAAGGACAAUCGUCCAAUCUACGACAGUUGGCUCCGCGAGCAACGUCUCCGUGAAACACAGGGAACUAUCGGCGAAACGAUUGAAUUGGAAUACGGAGAACGUGACGUUGACGAAUAUUGUCGGUGUGGAGCUGAAUUUAAUUUGACACCUGAAGAGAUCGACCAAAUCCUCGACACGGGAAUCUUCGAGUGCUCCUCGUGCUCCCUCUGUCUCGAAAUCCGUCGCUCCUCCACCACCACCACCACCCCCGCCACCCACUCAAAAAAAUGAGCUCCCUCGACGAAUCCUCCACAAAAAUCCUCGUCCUGGGCGACUCGUGCGUCGGCAAGACCUCCCUGUGUCACUGUAUCGCCGGCGGUGGUGAGCCGCCCGGCGGCGGCCGAUCUUUCGACUCAACCAUCGGAGCAACCGUCGUCAUGGCAUGGCACGAGUAUCGAGCCGGCACCCCGGAGCAACGUACCGAGCUUCUCGAGCUAUGGGAUAUUGGUGGAAUGGUGGCUCAUCGACAGGCGGCUCAAGUGUUUUUUGAGGGAGCCGUUGGCGCAAUUCUCGUGCACGAUUUGACGAAUAAACGGAGCGAGGAGAACCUCGCCACGUGGCUUACGAUGCUUGACGGGAAGCCUCGGGGAGCAGCUCCGAAGAGCUCCAAGGAUCCGGCCGCCGUCGCGUUGAAAGUCGAUAUUGAGAGUUGCAAUAUUCCUGUGUUGAUUGUGGGAACGAAAGCCGACUUGGUGCCGCAUAAGGGGCCUGUUAGCUAUGAUAGACUGCACAUCGACUCGCUCAAAAUAAUCCUCCGAGGCUCUGCCAACUCCAUCACCCUCUCCAGAUUCUUCGACUCUUGCCUCGACCGUACCCGCCGAACUUCUCUCAACUCGUCCUCGUCGUCAUUCUUCACAAAACCUCGCUCAAUGACUCCGAACCUUCCCGGAGCCUCAGCAUCGGCGGCAGCGGCGGCGGCAAACGUCACGAAUCGGACGAUGAGCCCGUACACAUCGGUUUUGAUGGGAUCUUAA
RNA transcript from Caenorhabditis elegans, 1181 nucleotides. It is a transcript of the gene named Non-coding transcript of protein-coding gene Y116A8C.10a, with no coding region annotated. Lineage: Eukaryota; Metazoa; Nematoda; Chromadorea; Rhabditida; Rhabditidae. The transcript has 5 exons. The record is from RefSeq and is marked reviewed.